AGCAGCCGCGGUAAUUCCAGCUCCAAUAGCGUAUAUUAAAGUUGUUGCAGUUAAAAAGCUCGUAGUUGAAUUUCGGGAUUGGCGCAUCGGUCGUGCCUUACGGGGUAUGAACUGGUGCAGUCAAUUUCUCACCUUCUGGAGAACCGCGAUGUCCUUAAUUGGGUGCCGCGGGGAACCAGGACCUUUACUUUGAAAAAAUUAGAGUGUUUAAAGCAGGCAUUUUUGCUUGAAUACAUUAGCAUGGAAUAAUAAAAUAGGACGGCAUGGUUCUAUUUUGUUGGUUUCUAGGACCACCGUAAUGAUUAAUAGGGAUAGUUGGGGGCAUUAGUAUUCAAUUGUCAGAGGUGAAAUUCUUGGAUUUAUUGAAGACUAACUACUGCGAAAGCAUUUGCCAAGGAUGUUUUCAUUAAUCAGGAACGAAAGUUAGGGGAUCGAAGACGAUCAGAUACCGUCGUAGUCUUAACCAUAAACUAUGCCGACUAGGGAUCGGAUGAUGUUAAUUUUUUAAUGUA
RNAcentral lists this ribosomal RNA (512 nucleotides) under uncultured Entrophospora. RNAcentral describes it as "SSU rRNA". It matches the Rfam family "Eukaryotic small subunit ribosomal RNA", at positions 569 to 1078 of the family's 1831-position model. Lineage: Eukaryota; Fungi; Glomeromycota; Glomeromycetes; Entrophosporales; Entrophosporaceae. The record is from RNAcentral.